RNAcentral lists this long non-coding RNA (1926 nucleotides) under Portunus trituberculatus (swimming crab). RNAcentral's name for it is "uncharacterized LOC123511292". Lineage: Eukaryota; Metazoa; Arthropoda; Malacostraca; Decapoda; Portunidae. The record is from RNAcentral.
UAUAGAACUCAAAUUAUGAGAAAGAUGUAUGAGCUACACAGAACUUACAAAUAUCUACUCCAUUUUAUCUGCCCUGCGAUAUAACUACGAAUGACUGACUGAGUGUCAUCCCUUGAUUACCGUGUCAUGAGAAUGAUUAAAGUGAGAGAGAGAGAGAGAGAGAGAGAGAGAGAGAGAGACUGAUAUGGGAAUUGGUACAACUUCCAUGAUCAGCGUGGCGGCGGCGCGGUGUUCAGUGUUCAUUGGCUUAGUCAGGUUGUCAGUUAAGAUGUCUUCAUUCAACGGUGCUUCCUUGAUGUUUAUCUUCUUUUUUGUUCUCUUCUAUUAUUGUCUUUCCUUUUUCAUCCAAAGAUCGAUAUAAUAUUUGUUUAGCUCAUUGCCAACUAGCAUGUUUCACGUUUUGUUACAAUUUUUCCUCCACUGUCAUCCUCCCUUCCCAUUUCCGCCUCUGCCUGCUCCAAGGAAUAUACCAGGUUUAGAAUCCUUGGCCUGGUCUCACUUUCUCACAUGACAUCAUGACACUCAAACACUGCAGAGCGCUAGACUGGGGAUCGGAACUUUUUUUGUCAUGGUUUCACGUUCCUCCUGUUUUCAUUCAAGUUCCUUUGGUGGUUCAGUGGUUCAGUCAUGUCAUUCAGGUGGCGACGCUGCUUCAUGGAAGUAUCACACGUUUUGGUAGCCCUAUGAGUGACUGUCCCUGCCUCCUUGAGUUUGGGCCUCUUGCUGAUGUGUUAACUUCAUCCUCGCCGGACCUAGCGACCUAUGAAUACCUCACAGCACACAUGCAUCACCAAGAUAGAGAGGCGAGGCGAGGCAAGGCAAGGCGAGGCUGGAGUGGUACUGUACUAUAUGGCCGUGUGCAAGGGAGAGAUGAGAAAUGAGUACGUGGGAAGGAGAGUGCAGGAGGCGGACCCACGAAGCAGGAAGAGGAGACGGAGACCAAAGAGGAGGUUUAUGGAUGCAUUAAAGCGGCUGAUGGGUGUAACACGAGAAGACACGCAAGACCGAAUAGGAUGGAAGCGAGUGAUUCACCGAUACCUUAAGAGAAACAGCAACCCCCACACACACACAAAAAAAAAAAAAAAAAAAGAAAGAAGGUGAACGACGAUAAUAAAUAUGAGAAAUGGAAAUAGAAAAACGAAACCAAAAAAAUAAGAAACUAGAUGAAGAAUGAUAAAUUGAAAAAGUAGAUGAUGAUGAAAAAAAAAAACUAUAGUAAUAAUGAUAAUGACAAUAAACAAUAACAUUAAUAGUGACAAUAAUAACUACAACAAUAAUGAUAAGUAAGAAAAGUAAAAGAGGAAGAUAAAGAUUGAAUAUACAUAAUUUCAGUUAUAAGCCUAAUUUUCCAAGGCAUUAUUUAUAAAUCACAUCAUAUCCGUUCAUUCCUGCUUGAUAAAUGAACUUAAUUGCCCUUAUUUAUUUAUUCAUUUAUUUAUUUAUUAGUUAGAACAACAUAUCAUCUCAAGGGAUUUUAAUAGGUAGGCUACAUAUCAUAGGCCAGCCUAGACUAGUGAAGUGUCAGUUAAGCCACACCUUUCUCAAUCCUUUUCCAUAUCCGUCUUCCCAUCCUCCACUCUCUCGAUCCUUGUUACUGCCUGUCUCACACCUCCUGCCUACCACUAUCCUUCACUGCCACUGUGUGUGUGUGUGUGUGUGUGUGUGUGUGUGUGUGUGUGUGUGUGUAGGGGAAUAGAGAAGGUGAAGGAAGAAUGAGAAGUAUGGGGGUGGGGAAGAGGGACGGGACAGGGGGAUGUGGAGGGGGAGAGAAAGAAAGCAACCUGUUAUGUACUUCAGAGGCAGCUCUAACCAACGACAUUUGCCUUGAGAGAGAGUAAGAAAAAAUGACAGAUGUUACUUUAGUUAGAAAUAGAAGAAAGAAAACUGCCUGCCAAUUGUACUUUAAAAAAAUGUCUACUUUCAAUU